GAUCAACGCUGGCGGCGUGCCUAAUGCAUGCAAGUCGAGCGGGGUGAUUUUCGGAUCACUUACGCGGCGGACGGGUGCGGAACACGUGGGCAACCUGCCCCGAGGUGGGGGAUAGCCGGUGGAAACACCGGGUAAUUCCGCAUACGGUCGGUGAUCGGAGGAUCACCGAGGAAAGGGUCUUCGGACUCGCCUUGGGAGGGGCCUGCGGCCGAUUAGCUAGACGGUGGGGUAACGGCCUACCGUGGCGAUGAUCGGUAGCUGGUCUGAGAGGACGGCCAGCCACACGGGGACUGAGACACGGCCCCGACUCCUACGGGAGGCAGCAGCAAGGAAUCUUCCGCAAUGGGCGAAAGCCUGACGGAGCAACGCCGCGUGUGGGAUGACGCCUUUCGGGGUGUAAACCACUUUUCUCAGGGAAGAAUUCUGACGGUACCUGAGGAAUAAGGACCGGCUAACUACGUGCCAGCCGCCGCCGUAACAC
This 481-nucleotide ribosomal RNA is filed under the name uncultured bacterium. RNAcentral describes it as "bacterial SSU rRNA". It matches the Rfam family "Bacterial small subunit ribosomal RNA", at positions 28 to 526 of the family's 1533-position model. The record is from RNAcentral.